This 253-nucleotide ribosomal RNA is filed under the name uncultured bacterium. RNAcentral's name for it is "partial 16S ribosomal RNA". It matches the Rfam family "Bacterial small subunit ribosomal RNA", at positions 524 to 776 of the family's 1533-position model. The record is from RNAcentral.
UACGUAGGGGGCAAGCGUUGUCCGGAAUCAUUGGGCGUAAAGAGCGUGUAGGCGGCCAGAUAAGUCCGCUGUGAAAUCUCGAGGCUCAACUUCGAGCUGUCGGUGGAAACUGUCUGGCUAGAGUCCGGAAGAGGAGAAUGGAAUUCCUGGUGUAGCGGUGAAAUGCGCAGAUAUCAGGAAGAACACCCGUGGCGAAGGCGGUUCUCUGGGACGGUACUGACGCUGAUGCGCGAAAGCGUGGGGAGCAAACAGG